This is a long non-coding RNA of Cuculus canorus (common cuckoo), 527 nucleotides long. RefSeq lists it as uncharacterized. Lineage: Eukaryota; Metazoa; Chordata; Aves; Cuculiformes; Cuculidae. The transcript is spliced from 3 exons. The record is from RefSeq and is a predicted model, not a curated record.
AAAGAAUUAAGAUGCUUAGCAGUAAGAACUCUGCAUCGAAAAGAAUGCCUACACGUACAUUAGAGGGCUCAUGGAUAGCAUCAGAAGAGAGGAGAGAAGAACAAAAGGAAGAAAGAUUUGCUGGAAGGCAGUGUUUCCCCAGCACAGGCAGUCCCUUUGCAGCCUUUCAAGUUCGACAUACAAAUUUGCAUUCUACAAGAAUGUAGGACGGGAAGCAUGAGAAGGUGGUCAGGGUAAUUUCUAGUCCACGAGAUCUUAUACAAUGUUGUGAUAAGCUUGGCAAUCACUGGAUCAUUACACUAAUUGUUUGUCACUGUGCACAUGUGCAUAUAAUCAGCAGCCUUUAAUGGAAUACAUUACAUUAUUCCUGUGUCGGAUAUGGUGUGUCUCUAUCCAUCAAGAGGAUGAGUUAGAAAUGGCUAGAAAUGAAUGCAGGGAAGUGCCUAAGCCAGAAGCAGAGAUUCUAAUUAUUUCAUACAAAGUAUUUCACGUAUUUGCUAAAAUGAGUCAUCAUGGUACUACGGAUU